UACUUUUGAAAACCGAUGAAUGCACAGC
RNAcentral lists this small RNA (28 nucleotides) under Bombyx mori (domestic silkworm). RNAcentral describes it as "ovarian small RNA-6235". The record is from RNAcentral. Lineage: Eukaryota; Metazoa; Arthropoda; Insecta; Lepidoptera; Bombycidae.